UGAGGCACAAAUUCAGGACUU
RNAcentral lists this non-coding RNA (21 nucleotides) under Arabidopsis thaliana (thale cress). Lineage: Eukaryota; Viridiplantae; Streptophyta; Magnoliopsida; Brassicales; Brassicaceae. The record is from RNAcentral.